Rana temporaria (common frog) is the source of this 344-nucleotide long non-coding RNA. RefSeq lists it as uncharacterized. Lineage: Eukaryota; Metazoa; Chordata; Amphibia; Anura; Ranidae. The transcript is spliced from 3 exons. The record is from RefSeq and is a predicted model, not a curated record.
UUAGGGCCAUGUUCCUCAGGGCUGCAGUCCCUCUGAGCUCCACAAGGUGGUGAUCUCACAUCUAGCCAGACAGGAAGUCUGUAUGGAGGGCAGGAAGUGAUGUCAGGGGCAGACAGGAAGUGUUGUCAGGCUCAGACAGGAAGUUCUGUGUUUGAGGAAUUAUAAAGAAGAAGAUUUGCUGGAACUGGCAGCAGAGGAGGAAACCUGUAUAGAUCACAUGACCAAUAAGAAUGGAGGAGAACCAGAGUCACAUGAUCGAAAAGAUACUAAACCUCACCCUGGAGAUCAUCUACCUGCUGACCGGAGAGAGAUUUCCUCUUGUGAAGUCAGGUGAUCAUAUGACC